GAUGAAGAACGUAGCGAAAUGCGAUAAGUAAUGUGAAUUGCAGAAUUCAGUGAAUCAUCGAAUCUUUGAACGCACAUUGCGCCCGCCAGUAUUCUGGCGGGCAUGCCUGUUCGAGCGUCAUUUCAACCAUCAAGCCCCCGGCUUGUGUUGGGGACCUGCGGCUGCCGCAGACCCUGAAAACCAGUGGCGGGCUCGCUAGUCACUCCGAGCGUAGUAAUACAUCUCGCUCAGGGCGUGCUGCGGGUUCCGGCCGUUAAAAGCCUUAUUUACCCAAGGUUGACCUCGGAUCAGGUAGGAAGACCCGCUGAACUUAAGCAUAUCAAUAAGCGGAGGA
RNAcentral lists this unclassified non-coding RNA (334 nucleotides) under soil metagenome. Its description in RNAcentral is "partial contains 5.8S ribosomal RNA, internal transcribed spacer 2, and large subunit ribosomal RNA". The stretch from base 1 to 120 matches the Rfam family "5.8S ribosomal RNA", at positions 35 to 154 of the family's 154-position model. The record is from RNAcentral.